Molecule: ribosomal RNA, 427 nt
Filed under: uncultured bacterium
Lineage: Bacteria
Description: bacterial SSU rRNA
Rfam family: Bacterial small subunit ribosomal RNA
Source: RNAcentral
UGGGGAAUUUUGGACAAUGGGCGCAAGCCUGAUCCAGCAAUGCCGCGUGCAGGAUGAAGGCCUUCGGGUUGUAAACUGCUUUUGUACGGAGCGAAAAGGUCUGCCCUAAUACGGUGGGCUCAUGACGGUACCGUAAGAAUAAGCACCGGCUAACUACGUGCCAGCAGCCGCGGUAAUACGUAGGGUGGGAGCGUUAAUCGGAAUUACUGGGCGUAAAGCGUGCGCAGGCGGUUAUAUAAGACAGAAGUGAAAUCCCCGGGCUCAACCUGGGACCUGCAUUUGUGACUGUAUAGCUAGAGUACGGUAGAGGGAGAUGGAAUUCAGCGUGUAGCAGUGAAAUGCGUAGAUAUGCGGAGGAACACCGAUGGCGAAGGCAAUCCCCUGGACCUGUACUGACGCUCAUGCACGAAAGCGUGGGGAGCAAACA